Sitodiplosis mosellana (orange wheat blossom midge) is the source of this 630-nucleotide long non-coding RNA. RefSeq lists it as uncharacterized. NCBI's taxonomy places the organism in Eukaryota, Metazoa, Arthropoda, Insecta, Diptera, Cecidomyiidae. The transcript has 3 exons. The record is from RefSeq and is a predicted model, not a curated record.
CUGGACAUUCCAACGUCGCCAACCAUUGUGUGAAAGCAGGUAUUUAAACAGAAAGUUUCUCUUUGCUCAUCACAUUUUGAUUUUGGUCUCGUUUGAAGUCGGAUCUGUGUUUGGAAGCUUCUUUUUGAAGGAAAAUGUCUUGUUCGGAAGAAGGAGGAUGCUUCAAAGCGGGCUCAGUUUCUCAAGAAACAGAAACAGAAACCGAUGGAUCAAAUGGCAAAAUGUCAGAAAAUUCAGGCGGUCGACAGAAGAGAUACAUUACCCAAACAUCAGAAAUCGCAAAAUGCAAUCAAGUGCAAAUAAGAGGACAUUUGAGUGAUAAAUUCGACUGGGACAAACCAAUUCCGGAAUUUCACAGCAAUAAACACUGAGCGACACACCAGAUAAAUAGCAUAAUUGUAUAAUUUAGCCUUCGCGAUGUUUGAAUCAAGUUUACAAGUAAACCAUUUUAGUAGUUUAGUAAAAAUAUAUUGCAAAAGCAUUUGAUCAGCUCGGUGUCAUUCGUUCUCGUGUCCAUUGAAAAAUUCAUUAGAAAUUGAUCAACAAAACUUUAUCAAUUUACACUCAAACUGUACGGGUUUAUCAUCGUUUAUAAACCAAAAAUGAGAAUAAAAAUGAGCCUCAAACGUA